GUCCCUGUAGUGCAACGGAUAGUGCGUUGAACCUCGAAUCCAAAGGUUGUGGGUUCAAAUCCCACCUGGGAUG
Molecule: non-coding RNA, 73 nt
Organism: Trichonephila clavipes
Lineage: Eukaryota; Metazoa; Arthropoda; Arachnida; Araneae; Nephilidae
Source: the annotation of a GenBank genome assembly